RNAcentral lists this transfer RNA (49 nucleotides) under Tripodanthus acutifolius. Its description in RNAcentral is "partial tRNA-Phe". The record is from RNAcentral. RNAcentral also lists the same sequence under 1 other name. Lineage: Eukaryota; Viridiplantae; Streptophyta; Magnoliopsida; Santalales; Loranthaceae.
UGGGAUAGCUCAGUUGGUAGAGCAGAGGACUGAAAAUCCUCGUGUCACC